CCUGGCCUCUCUCCAUUCCAGACCUGUGUUUCCAGUAGUUUCUACACGUCGGUGGAUGUGUCAUCCCCACUGGAAACUCACAGCUCUGAAAGCAGUCUCUUCACCUUUGCUCGCCCCAUAAGCAGCCCGUUACUCAUCUUCCUGGUCCAGUCACCUGAGGCCGAAUCUCACCACCUCUCAGAGAAGGGGGAGCACGGCCCCUGGCUUCUCUGUCAGGUGGGAAGGUCUGGAGAGGUGAAGGGGGCUUGAAGCCCAGAAGGAGAUGCAGCACCAUCAGGGAGCCUCCCACCUGUCUGAGUCUCCAGGUCGGGUGAAUGAGCUCCCAGGAACAAGAGCUCAGCUGCCCUGCCCCAGGGAGGGGCGGGACCCUGCAGGACACGACCCAUGACCUCACCUCUCCUGGCUCCGGGCAGCAGCCCUGCCCACCUCUGGAGAAUUCCAUGACUCAGCCUACUCAAGGGUGCACUGCCCAGAUGGAUUUUUUUUUGCUCACCAUCCGCAAGUCAGUUCACCCCCAAAGUGUAAAAACAGAGCCUGCUGUGUCCAGUUAUUCUCUCUCCCCUCGCCCUCGUCAGCUCUGCUUCUGCCUGAGCGUGUGGACAGCGGGGUGAGGCACUGGGCAGCAAAGGCUGCAAGUGUCCCUGAGCACGUGCCUGGGGCCUGGUGCUGCCCUCACCGAGUGCCCCAGUGGACGGGCAGAAAG
Non-coding RNA from Kogia breviceps (pygmy sperm whale), 703 nucleotides. The record is from RefSeq and is a predicted model, not a curated record. Lineage: Eukaryota; Metazoa; Chordata; Mammalia; Artiodactyla; Physeteridae.